Molecule: transfer RNA, 87 nt
Filed under: Fibrella aestuarina BUZ 2
Lineage: Bacteria; Pseudomonadati; Bacteroidota; Cytophagia; Cytophagales; Spirosomataceae
Description: tRNA-Leu (TAA) (tRNA-Leu-TAA-1-1)
Rfam family: tRNA
About the family: Transfer RNA (tRNA) molecules are approximately 80 nucleotides in length.
Source: Rfam by way of RNAcentral
GCCGGGAUGGCGGAAUAGGUAGACGCGCAGGACUUAAAAUCCUGUGAGCCGUAAAAGCUCGUGCGGGUUCGAUCCCCGCUCCCGGUA